CCUACGUGUGUCUGCAGUGGGGAAUAUUGCGCAAUGGGCGAAAGCCUGACGCAGCGACGCCGCGUGAGGGAUGAAGGCCUUCGGAUCGUAAACCUCUUUCAGCAGGGAAGAACGGUCACAGUGUUAAUCAGCAGUGAAUUGACGGUACCUGCAGAGGAAGCACCGGCUAACUCCGUGCCAGCAGCCGCGGUAAUACGGAGGGUGCGAGCGUUAAUCGGAAUUACGGGGCGUAAAGCGCGCGUAGGCGGUAUGUCAAGUCAAGGGUGAAAUCCCCGGGCUCAACGUGGGAACUGCCUCUGAAACUGGCAGGCUGGAGUGUGGUAGAGGAUAGUGGAAUUCCAGGUGUAGGAGUGAAAUGCGUAGAGAUCUGGAGGAACACCAGUGGCGAAGGCGACUCUCUGGCACAUAACUGACGCUGAGGAGCGAAAGCGUGGGUAGCAAACAGGAUUAGAUACCCCAGUAGUC
RNAcentral lists this ribosomal RNA (465 nucleotides) under uncultured bacterium. RNAcentral's name for it is "partial 16S ribosomal RNA". It matches the Rfam family "Bacterial small subunit ribosomal RNA", at positions 338 to 795 of the family's 1533-position model. The record is from RNAcentral.